AUGCUCGCCGGCCAUGAGCCCCACAAAGUGAAGCUAUGGGAGGCCGGCAGCGGGUGUCGCAGGCUGUGGGACAUGUCGGUGGUGUUCGACGGCGAAGGCCACAUGUACCUAGGGCCCGGCUGGGAGCAUUUUGCCCGUGCCCAUGACCUGAAGCUCGGGCACUUCCUUGUCUUCCGCUAUGAUGGUGACACCCUGUUCACCGUGAAUAUGUUCGACAACACCAUGUGCCGCAUGUACUACAAGCACGACGAUGAUGCCAGCAAUGGGAGCAACAGCAGGGAUGACGAGGAGCAGAGUGGGGAUGACGAGGAGCAGAGUGGGGAUGAUGAGGAGCAGAGCGGGGAUGACGAGGAGCAGAGCAGGGAAGAGGAGGAGCAGAGCGGGGAGGUCAGCCUAUUCUAG
Molecule: ribosomal RNA, 402 nt
Filed under: Triticum aestivum (bread wheat)
Lineage: Eukaryota; Viridiplantae; Streptophyta; Magnoliopsida; Poales; Poaceae
Description: partial small subunit ribosomal RNA
Source: RNAcentral